GGUGUGGGGGCCGCCGAGGUGAAUCCACCCCGCUCAGGAGGGGAAACGCUGCCCCGGCCCCCUGGCUCACCCUCUCCGCCUGUGGCUUUCCGCUCUGUGUGCCCCGCAGGUGGGAGAGCCCAUGGGAGACUUCCACCCGGGCGGCUACUACCCGCCGCCGCCGCCGCCACCGCCACCACCGCCGCCGCCGCCUCCACCCCCGCCCCCGCCGCCGCCGCCGCCGCUGCAGCCUCAGUUCCUGCCGCCCGGCUUCCUCUCCGCGCUGCACUUCCUCCCGCCGCCGCCGCCGCCACCGCCCCCAUCGUCCUUCUCGCUGAGCCUCCUGUCGGACGCGGACAAUGAGAACACGGAUGACCAGGAUGCGGAGCAGCCAUGCCCGCCCCGUCAGCCGUCACCCCAGGAGCAGUCUGACUAGGCCCAGGCCUCCAGCCCGCAGCCUGGAGCCUUGGGGGGCUACAGCAGUGCUGUUCUCGACUGUUCAGUGCUGGGCAGGGCGGGAGGCUAGUGGUAGGCGUAAGAUAGCAGUUCAUUCCCAUUUCAAGAAUAGGAGGAGAGGCGGGUGAUCGCGGAGGUUCUUAGUCCGGAGCCGGAGGUGGGUGGCGUGGAAGAGGAGCAGGGCAGGUGAAGUCACCAGGACAGGGACGGGGCUCUGAGGAGGGUACGGGGCCGGUGGAAGCUCACAUUUCGGAAUGAAUUGAACCAUCUCUGGGUUGUGCGCCUGUGAGCAGACUCACCCCCAGAGGCAGCCUUUGAUUUCCUCAGGUCCGGCUCCAGAACAGGAGGCUCUGUCUGCUCCAGCCUCCUGCUGCCGCUGCCUCUGCCUGGUCCCCAGCUGGGGGCAGCACAGACGCCAGGCCUUCAGCACAUCCAGGUGGAUGGUGCGAGCCGCCAGGACCAGGGCUCUGCAGCGGCCUUCCUUGCUGCCCCGUCCCCUGCCCCUCACCCCUUCUCCAGGGGCCGUAGCAGUAAGCGUUCUGCCUGCCGGGGCAGCAUCACCUCUCCUCCAUAAAGUUUAAGCCAUUAGAGGCAUCAUUUCUAGUUUUUAAAAAAAAUCUAUUAAAGUUUGACUAUUUGGUGGU
This 1079-nucleotide long non-coding RNA is filed under the name Sus scrofa (pig). RNAcentral's name for it is "lncRNA (ENSSSCG00050027260.1)". The record is from RNAcentral. Lineage: Eukaryota; Metazoa; Chordata; Mammalia; Artiodactyla; Suidae.